This 433-nucleotide ribosomal RNA is filed under the name uncultured bacterium. RNAcentral's name for it is "partial 16S ribosomal RNA". It matches the Rfam family "Bacterial small subunit ribosomal RNA", at positions 29 to 507 of the family's 1533-position model. The record is from RNAcentral.
AACGAACGCUGGCGGCAUGCCCAACACAUGCAAGUCGAACGAAGGCUUCGGCCUUAGUGGCGCACGGGUGCGUAACGCGUGGGAAUCUGCCCUUUGGUUCGGAAUAACAGCUGGAAACGGCUGCUAAUACCGGAUGAUGACGAAAGUCCAAAGAUUUAUCGCCAGAGGAUGAGCCCGCGUUGGAUUAGGUAGUUGGUGGGGUAAAGGCCUACCAAGCCGACGAUCCAUAGCUGGUCUGAGAGGAUGAUCAGCCACACUGGGACUGAGACACGGCCCAGACUCCUACGGGAGGCAGCAGUGGGGAAUAUUGGACAAUGGGCGCAAGCCUGAUCCAGCAAUGCCGCGUGAGUGAUGAAGGCCCUAGGGUUGUAAAGCUCUUUUACCCGGGAAGAUAAUGACUGUACCGGGAGAAUAAGCCCCGGCUAACUCCGUG